This 509-nucleotide ribosomal RNA is filed under the name uncultured Glomeraceae. RNAcentral describes it as "SSU rRNA". It matches the Rfam family "Eukaryotic small subunit ribosomal RNA", at positions 569 to 1078 of the family's 1831-position model. Lineage: Eukaryota; Fungi; Glomeromycota; Glomeromycetes; Glomerales; Glomeraceae. The record is from RNAcentral.
AGCAGCCGCGGUAAUUCCAGCUCCAAUAGCGUAUAUUAAAGUUGUUGCAGUUAAAAAGCUCGUAGUUGAAUUUCGGGAUCAGUUCGUCGGUCGUGCCUUUGGUAUGUACUGGUGUUACUGGUUCCUCCCUUCUGACGAACCGUCAUGUCAUUAAUUUGGUGUGGCGGGAAAUCAGGACUGUUACUUUGAAAAAAUUAGAGUGUUUAAAGCAGGCUCGCGCUUGAAUACAUUAGCAUGGAAUAAUGAAAUAGGACGUUCGAUCCUAUUUUGUUGGUUUCUAGGAUUGACGUAAUGAUUAAUAGGGAUAGUUGGGGGCAUUAGUAUUCAAUUGUCAGAGGUGAAAUUCUUGGAUUUAUUGAAGACUAACUACUGCGAAAGCAUUUGCCAAGGAUGUUUUCAUUAAUCAAGAACGAAAGUUAGGGGAUCGAAGACGAUCAGAUACCGUCGUAGUCUUAACCAUAAACUAUGCCGACUAGGGAUCGGAUGAUGUUAAUUUUUUUAAUGACUCA